Cicer arietinum (chickpea) is the source of this 1391-nucleotide RNA transcript. It is a transcript of the gene named putative calcium-transporting ATPase 11, plasma membrane-type, with no coding region annotated. NCBI's taxonomy places the organism in Eukaryota, Viridiplantae, Streptophyta, Magnoliopsida, Fabales, Fabaceae. The record is from RefSeq and is a predicted model, not a curated record.
CAAAUCCUUAUGCCUCAGGUUCAUCCUUCACCCUUCACUGCUUUCACCUUUCAUCCUUGAACGUAAACUCUAAGUAAAUUUUGUUUUCUCUAAAGUAUAUUUUCGUUCCUUCCUUCGCAAUCAACACUUAAAUUUGUAUUUCCCUAAAUUGUUUUCUCUUAAAUUCUGUUUUCACUUCCGUGUCGGCGACAAAUUGGUCCGGCGCAACCCAAUUCCUAACCUAACACCGUUACAGUUAUGGGAACCGAGAGUUAGACUUACAUGGGACACAAUUUCAACGAAUUCACCAUCAACGAUAAUUUCACUUCUUUUGCUUUCAGCGACUCUAACAGCUAUAGAUCCGGCGAAUUCACCACCACUUCUUCACAAUCCCGACGACUCCUCAUCUCAUGUGCUUUCGAAAAUUCCAAUGAUUUCAUCCGUCAACUUGUUUCCGAUAUUCACUCUUCUUCAAUCAAAGACCAGUAACAAGCCGCCAUGGAAAUUCGACACCACCACACGUCGGAAUGCCACUAACCUCUGAUCUUCACAUUGUGUAUUAGUUAAUGAAUUUUUUUAUUUGUUAUGGAUAUUUUUAAUUGAAGGUGCCACUUUAGGUAUUGGAGCUGAAACAGCUAAGGUGUUAGCAAAGAGAGGAGUGUGAGUUGUGGUUGGUGCUAGGGACUUGAAAAAGGGUUGUGAAGUUAGAGAGAAAAUCCAAAAGGAGAGUCUUAAUGCUGAGAUAAUUCUAUUGGAAAUUGAUCUUAGCUCUCUUGCUUCUGUACAGAGAUUUUGUUCAGAGUUUUUAGCUUUAGAAUUGCCUUAUAAUAUUAUCAUAAAUAAUGCAGGAGUAUACUCUCAGAACAUUGAAUUCCCUGAAGAGAAAAUUGAAAUGACAUUUGCUAUAAAUUACGUAGACUCAUCCUUUCCUUACUCCAGUAGAAGCUGAGGGUGGCAGUUUUAGUUUCCAAAGUAGCAUUUCAGUUUCUGCAAGACGCGCAACAAAGCGAUUACAAAGUGCUAGAGGAAGUUAAAGAUUCAGGAUUCCAAAUCUGUGGUGAUGAAUUGGGGUCUAUUGUUGAAGGCCAUGAUGAUGAUCUGACAAUGAAAUCUUUGGCCAGAGACGGUGAAUAUAGUAAUCAUUCAAGUGAUUUGGUUCUGUUAAUUCAUAUAAAUCUUUUUGGGUUAAUCCUGAUUAUUAAUAUGAUUACUAUCUUUUAUGUAUACUCAAACUUGUGAUUUGUUUGUGUUUUCAUGUUUAGUAUAAUGUAUUGUCAACAUAGUUGAUGUCAUCAUGUGACUCCUUGGGUCGAGGCAUGUUCAAUUUGAUUAUGUCUAUAAUUACAUUAUUGUUCUAGUUCUACUUAUUUGCCGUGACAAUGCUACGAUGCAAUUGAUAUUUAGUUGAUUUA